AAGCCAGUGGUGAACUCCACAUCCGCAUCCUUUGCUGAGGAUACGGUUAACGGAGCGAAAGCGACGUUCAACCGCAAAACAAGCAGAGGGGGCUUAGUGGUGGGGUGACUGCGUACCUUUUGUAUAAUGGGUCAGCGACUUAUAUUCUGUAGCAAGGUUAACCGAAUAGGGGAGCCGGAGGGAAACCGAGUCUUAAUUGGGCGUUAAGUUGCAGGGUAUAGACCCGAAACCCGGUGAUCUAGCCAUGGGCAGGUUGAAGGUUGGGUAACACUAACUGGAGGACCGAACCGACUAAUGUUGAAAAAUUAGCGGAUGACCUGUGGCUGGGGGUGAAAGGCCAAUCAAACCGGGAGAUAGCUGGUUCUCCCCGAAAGCUAUUUAGGUAGCGCCUCGUGAAUUCAUCUCCGGGGGUAGAGCACUGUUUCGGCUAGGGGGCCAUCCCGGCUUACCAACCCGAUGCAAACUGCGAAUACCGGAGAAUGUUAUCACGGGAGACACACGGCGGGUGCUAACGUCCGUCGUGAAGAGGGAAACAACCCAGACCGCCAGCUAAGGUCCCAAAGUCAUGGUUAAGUGGGAAACGAUGUGGGAAGGCCCAGACAGCCAGGAUGUUGGCUUAGAAGCAGCCAUCAUUUAAAGAAAGCGUAAUAGCUCACUGGUCGAGUCGGCCUGCGCGGAAGAUGUAACGGGGCUAAACCAUGCACCGAAGCUGCGGCAGCGAACGUAUCACCCAAGACAACUUUACGGAGUUGACGAUUGACGGAGCGAAGCGACGUCAAAGCGUUCAUUAAAGUCGAGUUGGCUUAGGGAUACGUUCGUUGGGUAGGGGAGCGUUCUGUAAGCCUGUGAAGGUGUGUCGUGAGGCAUGCUGGAGGUAUCAGAAGUGCGAAUGCUGACAUAAGUAACGAUAAAGCGGGUGAAAAGCCCGCUCGCCGGAAGACCAAGGGUUCCUGUCCAACGUUAAUCGGGGCAGGGUGAGUCGACCCCUAAGGCGAGGCCGAAAGGCGUAGUCGAUGGGAAACGGGUUAAUAUUCCCGUACUUGGUGUUACUGCGAAGGGGGGACGGAGAAGGCUAUGUUGGCCGGGCGACGGUUGUCCCGGUUUAAGCGUGUAGGUGUGUGUUCCAGGUAAAUCCGGUUCACUUUAACACUGAGGCGUGACGACGAGGCACUACGGUGCU
This 1180-nucleotide ribosomal RNA is filed under the name Salmonella enterica subsp. enterica serovar Typhimurium. RNAcentral's name for it is "partial 23S ribosomal RNA". It matches the Rfam family "Bacterial large subunit ribosomal RNA", at positions 1 to 1586 of the family's 2925-position model. The record is from RNAcentral. Lineage: Bacteria; Pseudomonadati; Pseudomonadota; Gammaproteobacteria; Enterobacterales; Enterobacteriaceae.